CACACACACACACAUGCACACGCACCGGCAUGAAAUCCAACUACUCAACUCGAAAGCUAGCGGUAGAAUCAACCCAAGCCACCCUUUCAUACACAAAGCAAUUAUUGGGGGACAUAAAAGGCAUGGGGUGCCGGAGCCUGCAGCGUACCUACGCAGUUUUCAAAGUGGACCGAGCUUGAAGCCAUUCCUUGUAUUUAAAGGUAUCCGUAUAUCCAGUGACCCAGUGUAGACCGUUCUACGGACAUUUCCUUGUAUUUAAAGGUAUCCGUAUAUCCAGUGACCCAGUGUAGACCGUUCUACGGACAUUUCCUUGUAUUUAAAGGUAUCCGUAUAUCCAGUGACCCAGUGUAGACCGUUCUACGGACAUUUCCUUGCCGUUUCUCGAGUGAUAUUUUGUUUUUGGCACAAUGGGGUGCUGCAGCGGCCGAUGCACGCUCAUCUUUCUCUGCUCGAUUCAGCUGAUGGUGGCGUUGGAGAGGCAGGUUUUUGACUUCCUGGGAUACCAAUGGGCGCCCAUUCUGGCCAACUUCUUCCACAUCAUCAUUGUCAUCCUCGGCUUCUUCGGCACUAUACAGUACCGACCACGCUACAUUGUCGUGUACACAGUGUGGACAGCUCUCUGGGUGGCCUGGAAUCUCUUCAUCGUCUGUUUCUACCUGGAUGUGGGAGGCCUGACCAAGGAAAGUGACCUGCUGACGUUUGACAUCUCGGCUCACCACUCGUGGUGGAGGGAGCACGGUCCAGGGUGUGUGAGGAGAGAGAUGACCCAGCCAGGGGUGGCCAUCGUGGACAGCCAGUCUUACAUCUCUGUCAUGGGCUGUCUCAUAGAGUACCAGUACAUAGAGGUCCUACACAGUGCAACACAGAUCCUCAUCGCUCUCCUGGGCUUCGUGUACGCCUGCUACGUCAUUAGCGCCAUCACUGAGGAGGAAGACAGCUUUGAUUUUGUUGGUGGAUUUGACCCCUUCCCUCUCUACCAUGUCAAUGAGAAACCAUCCCAUCUCCUCUUAAAGCCCAUGUACCUGUCUACGUAAAUAGGGCAGAAGGCAACAUUGCAGGUUCCGAUGGAAACAAAGUGGCUGCUCUGACUGACACAACAACCGUCCGAGAAUUCACUGGGGCAGGCCAGACAUUCCUCUGGUUCUCUACAUCUCUUCAGUCCUUCAAACAUAAUGUGUAACUGCCUGGGUCUUUGGAUGUGUCCCUUUAUGAGUAUAAUGGAGUUGCCACUAGACACUAAUCUAAGGUGAGUUUUGGGUUUCAUCCCUCAUUAAGAUUUGAGAAGGGGUGACUGAUCAUAGAUCAGUGCCUAAGAGCACCUCAUCUCCCUGGACUGUCCACUUUCUACCUUAAUCUUCCUGUGUACCACUACUGCCCCCUGCUGUUGAAUGUAGUCAUGUACACAUUCUACUGAAUAUGUUUCUGUUCUGGACUUCAACAAAGCCCUCUGCUUUGUCAUUUAGGGUUUCAUGGCAUACUGUUUAUUGAUAAGAUAUAAUACACCGUUUGGGUUAUUGGCCUACUGGACCCCAUAGAAAGGUCCAGUGUACUACCCUGCAUGUAUGUAUGAAGCCUAUAUCUCACUGUAUACUUCUUUAUCUCCAUGCUUUCCACUCAAUCUUAUACCUGACGCCGUUCAGAAGAACAAAUGUACUUCUUAGUUCCAACUGAAGCCUCUACAUUCAUUUCUAUUUAUUUGUAUCAUUUGUCUUGAUGCAAUCUGCUGUGGCAUGAAUGUGAUGAAUACCCUUGUUAAAUCAAAGCUUGUUUUCUACUUAAUCAAAAGAGCCUUGAACACAGCACAUAUGGAGAUUGAAAUUUGGAUCGGUCUCAUGUUUCCAGCACCUGAUCAACACCUUAUCCCCUUGUGGGCUUGAUAGACAGGCUUCUGAGCUGAUGAUAUGAAAAUCACAGCUGUCUCUCAACUGGUAUUGGCUUCAUAUGAAUGCGUUUGCAGAACAGUGGUAGUGGCUUCAGUGAUGGUGCAAAAAUAAUGAUUGUAAACUAUGGGCCUUGUUCCAAAUGAUAUCCUGAAGUAGUGCACUAUAUAGGGAAUAAGGUAUAAUUUGAGGUGUAAAUGUAACAUUUCAGGACAGUGCAAUGUUACAGAAGAUUCAGAUAUAGAUGUAUUGUUCAAUAGACAUCAUUCUGUCAUAGAUAAUGCCAGCUCUAUGCAUUACAUUUCUAUCUGUAAUACUCUGUUGCACUCCAAUGAAUAAACCCCGAGCUUAUCAAUACCAAGCCAUGGCUGCUUGUCAAUACUUAUGAACAAAGGACCAGAUACACUUUAUGAACUGUAGCCAGGAUCAUUACCAACAGCGAACACACACUGCACAUUAUGUCUUGAUAAAAAAAUAUCUUUAGACACCGAAAAUAAUUAGAUUUACAGGAACAGUUUUUUUCCUUUCAAUGCAAAACAGCGUCUCCAACAGGGAAUGGAAGAGCCUGACAUUGGUUAGUUGGAGCCUAUUGUGGUCAUGUAAUGGAUACCACUGGAAAAAAAGUCCACUUUGUAGAUAAUUGUUUUUCUAUUUGUAUUUAUUUUGUAUCCUCUGUAGUCCUCUUCAUGUGACUCAAUUAUGUAAUCAUAUUUGUCCAGACCUGUGCUGUGUUCAAUAGUGUAAAUAUCAGUUUGUUAAUAAACAAAUGUUGUACUUUUUCUCCC
Molecule: RNA transcript, 2665 nt
Organism: Oncorhynchus tshawytscha (Chinook salmon)
Lineage: Eukaryota; Metazoa; Chordata; Actinopteri; Salmoniformes; Salmonidae
Gene name: sodium/potassium-transporting ATPase subunit beta-1-interacting protein 3-like
Exons: 8
Source: RefSeq, a predicted model, not a curated record